RNAcentral lists this ribosomal RNA (253 nucleotides) under uncultured bacterium. RNAcentral's name for it is "partial 16S ribosomal RNA". It matches the Rfam family "Bacterial small subunit ribosomal RNA", at positions 524 to 776 of the family's 1533-position model. The record is from RNAcentral.
UACGCAGGUGGCAAGCGUUGUCCGGAUUUACUGGGCGUAAAGAGCGCGCAGGCGGUCGUUCAAGUCGCGUGUGAAAGCCCCCGGCUCAACUGGGGAGGGUCACGCGAUACUGAUCGACUCGAAGGCAGGAGAGGGUAGUGGAAUUCCCGGUGUAGUGGUGAAAUGCGUAGAUAUCGGGAGGAACACCAGUGGCGAAGGCGGCUUUCUGGGCCUUACCUGACGCUGAGACGCGAAAGCGUGGGGAGCGAACCGG